Brassica oleracea var. oleracea is the source of this 564-nucleotide long non-coding RNA. RefSeq lists it as uncharacterized. The record is from RefSeq and is a predicted model, not a curated record. Lineage: Eukaryota; Viridiplantae; Streptophyta; Magnoliopsida; Brassicales; Brassicaceae. The transcript has 3 exons.
UCCAAACCCUAAUUUUCUUACAAUGAUUUGUGAACCCUUUGCUCUUCCUCUUCUUAGUUUCCGUUUCACGAAUCUGAUCUACCAUCAAUAAAUACACUCUCCACUUCUUUCUCCCUUUAAUCUCAUAAACUUACCAGGCGGGAUCUAUGAACAAGAUGAGUGUAUCUCCAAAGGGGUAUGAUUUUUUAAAAGCAUAAACAAUGUGGAGAGAAGCCUCAAGGAGUAUACUGCAAGCAACUGGAUCGAUUAUACGAGGGUUUCGGAUCUGAAACUGAGGGCAGUGUAAAAAGCUUCUUUAAAGAGCCUAAUAUUGGAUUCAGUCACUCAGAAAUAAUCAGUUACACAAGGUUUUCCAUUCUAUUAUUGAAACGAAGCUGUGGAUGAAGGUAUUGUUGUCUGAGGUGGACGCAAUCAGCUAAGACUUGCUUCGAAAGUGGAUGCCACUAAAGAGACUCUUAGGAAACAAUGAAUAAAAGAUUGGAGCUGACAUUGUUAAGUAAGACAGAGCUACCUGUUGAAGUAGGUGUUAAGGGAAGCGUUGUCAGCAAAGAGGUUAACAAUAUA